RNAcentral lists this long non-coding RNA (6510 nucleotides) under Heterocephalus glaber (naked mole-rat). RNAcentral's name for it is "lncRNA (ENSHGLG00100036039.1)". The record is from RNAcentral. Lineage: Eukaryota; Metazoa; Chordata; Mammalia; Rodentia; Bathyergidae.
CUGUCAUAUAAAUUUUUCUAGAAUUCAAAAUCAUUUCAGCGGUUUAUGCACUUUCUUAAUAUGUAUGGUUUUGGGGAAACAAAUCCACAUAGUAUCCUGAGGUGGAAACCAAGUCACAAAAAAUAAUGAAGAAUAUUAGAUUUGACAUGAAAAUAUGUAUCAAUUUCUUCAAGUGUUUGGGUUUAGGGUAGAAUUUUCUACCAAAUUUUAACUUCUUGGGGAUGAAGUUUAAUUCAUCUUCAACUUUAGAACCGGAUGGUCUGCACUGUGUCAUUGGUCAACUUGGAGCCCAGCAGGGAUAACUUCUUUAAGUUAUGAGCAUUUAACUUGAUUCAAAGUAAAAAUCUAUUUAUUUCACAGGGAUAAAACAAAGUUUCAACUAUAGCAAAAGAGCACAGACCUCCUUAAGCAGAUGUAUUGAUGGCGAACCUUUUAGAGCUUUCAAUGGUACAAACAGCCCAGUGAGGCACGCACCAUAGGUUCCCUACCCCUGUGUAGACCAUAUCCACCAUGUAUUAUGAAGUCUAAGAAUGGGAACACAAAUUGCAAAAGGAAAGUUGAAAGGGAAUAAUGGUGAACUAUGCAGUGAGGGCGUAAAAAGUAGUAGAAGAAAUGUAAAGUCGAUUUAUUUAGAUAGGUGAUUUGGGAAGAGAAGAAAAAUGGUUUAGGGACAAUAUAAAACUUAUUAAUAGUAGUGUUAACAUGGCUUUAAAGGGAGAAAGUGAGGCUCAAAUACCAAGAGAUAGCAACAAGCAGAAUGUUGUGCAAUUAUAUAUGCUUCAUCAAGCUCAAAAGUUAAAAUGUCAUUGCUUCCUUUGAACUUGCCUGUCAUGGUUUAUCUAGUGAUGGAUUACACAAUAUUUUCUUCAUAACAGCAUAAGAAGUGUGGGGAGCCAUUUGUACUAGUUAUUUGGAAAGAUGAACAAUUCUGCUUACUCUAAAAUGAUGCUUUUAAUACUGAUAUUUUAAUUGUUGAAUUGUAAUUACAAGGUACAAAUGAUAUGUUUGUUUAAGAAAGUCUGAUGUUCAUAGGAAAAUAAGAAAAUGUGUAACAGUGGUAUACAAGAGUCAUGGCUUUACAUAUAUAUUUAAAUGCAAUUCAUGCAUCACUUCUUGUUUAAGGGAAAUAGUUGAAAUGCUUUUAAUGUUUAUAAACUUAUAGUUUAUAAGAUAUUCAUCUGAUCCCUUAAUAAACUGGACUUUGAGAUAAUGUUUCGUUGUAUUUGUCAACAGCUUUUUAUUUUUCAGCUUUGAGUCCAUGUUAGUAUGUAGUAUGGUCCGAAUGUUUUUAUCUCCCUAAAAUUCGUAUGUUGACAUCCUCACUUGUGCGGUGAUGAUAUGAGGAGAUGGUCAGGUUAUGGGAUCAGAGUCCUCAUGAAUAGCACCAGUGCCCUUAUGACAGAGGCAUGAGAGACAUUUGUCACAUCCCUUCUGCCAUGGGAAAUCAAUGUGAAGAGACAGCUAUCGAUGUGGAAGUGGGCUCAAUCUGCCAGGAUCUUGAUGGAUUCCCCAGUUUCCAGAGCAGUGAGAAAUAAAUCUCUGCUGUCUCUAAGCUACUUAAUUUAUGGUAUUUUUGUUAUGGAAGGCACUGGACUAGGAUAUUACUGGAAUUUAAAAUGAAUUCAAUUAGAUAAACAAGCAAUAAUGAAAGUUGAAUAGGAGUGAAAGCAAACUGCCACCAUUUGAUAGAAAGGAAAGAAAACCAAAAUGACAACCAGAUCAUGUAAAUUCUGGUCCUGCGUAACUCUCAUUCACCAUGUGAUCUUUAUUUCUCUGAACCCAAAUUGCUUUCUAUGCAAAUUAAAACAUACACAUUAGAAGAUUCUUGAGGCACACACUGGGUAGUUGUUUAGCUAAUAGAUUUCCUAUUUCUAUUUGAAACAAAGCCUCUUUUGUGUUUAGUGUUGUUCAUGUGACAGAAUUACAGCUUAUUCUGUCAAAUCUGGUAUGAAUGUUUUGUACCAUUUCCAGUGGCCCUAUCAGAAUUCCCACUGGUAAGUGUCCCUUUCUUUCUCUGUCUCCUGAGUAGAGAACACAUAAGGCCCUAGAUGAGGGCAGGGCCACAAGGCGGAAUAAUUCUGGGAACUUGAAUGACUGUGUGGAAGAGAGUUUUACUUGCUUAUCUGUAUUCGGCUAUAGUCUGAGUAAGAAACAAAUUUGUUUGUAUUUUACCAUGGAAGAUUUGACUGUAGAGCAAUUAGUUUUUCUCACUGAAACAUUAGACAGGUUUGCUUCUAGUUUGAAAUUCUGUGAUUUGUCAAAAAUCUUUAAGAGUGAGGUUAGAAAAAAAGGAAGAAGAGCCAAAAUUUGUGUCUUUGCCUCUUUAGUUAUUCUCUCUGUGGUAACUGGAGCCCUUUGAGUAAAGGGAGCAGGAGAACACAGUGGAAGUUAUGGGUCGUAACAUCCCUGGUGAGCUCACGAAAGAUACUGAAGCUUCUACCUUCAUCUCUGACACUUGCUCUGGGGGAAGCUGUUCACCAGUCAUGAGGACACUCAAGCCCCAGUGAGAGGCCACUCACUAGGAGCUGUCAGAAGCAACUUGCUAGUCAGGGUAGCCAUGUGAAUGAGUGGAUUCCACCACCUCAUCAAUCCUCACAUAAACGCAGUCCCCCUCAGUGCUUGAGUAGAACUUCACAAGAUCCCCUCACUGCUUCAGAAUUCAUCCCCACAGAAACGGUGAGACAAAAUGCAUGCUCAUUGUUGUUCAAGCUACAAAGUUUUGAAGUGAUUUACAAAAUAGCAGUAGAUAGCUGAUGUACAAGUCAUGACGGGAGACAUUUUUACUAAAUAUUUCCACAGUAUAGCCUGGAGCUUUAUUGUCUCGUAACCUUUGAUUUUCAUUUUUUCACCUCAUCAUUUGACUGUUAAACAGAGUCACAGAUUUUAUGGUUUUGUUAUAACCACACCUAACCUCAGUAUACCAAUUUUUGUACAUAGAUAGGAUAAUGCUAGAUUGUAUGACAGGAUACAUUUUGAGAGCUUAGUGGAUUAAUACAAUAAACUUUGUUUUUUAAUGUAAAAAAUGGUGUUAAGAAAUGUAAAAAGAUAUCAAAAGUCAAAGCCCUUCUAAAUGUAGGUAACCUUUUACAAUAGUCAAAGUGAACAUCCAGAGAUAGUUAAAAAUUUGAAUAUAAUGUUUAUUUUUUGGUACCGGGGAUCGAACUUGGGACCUUGUACUUUCAAAGUAGGUGGCAGCACCACUGAGCUAAAUCCCCAGCCCUAUAAUGUUUAUUUUUAAGUCAGUUUUUCUAUGUAUAAUUCCAAUAUGUUUGCUCUUUAGCUUUCAUGGUUUUGGGCUGGGGAUUUAGCUCAGUGGUUCUGGCGCCUGCCUCCCAAGCACAAGGUCCCGAGUUCAAUCCCCGGCACAAAAAAAAAACAACUUUCAUGGUUUAGUUAAAUGACAUGCAGUCCUCAAACAAUAUGUUCAAAUUUCAGUUCUCAUGGUAUACCAACUGUGCAUCAAGUACCAACUUCUCUGUUGCUACCUCUUCAACGCACAAAUCACUACAUAAACAGCAUAUUGACAUUAUGAGCAGUAAACAGGCAUAUCACUUCCUUCAAACUCUGGUGGUGAUUGGUUACUGUGAAUGCUAUUUAAUUCAUGGAAAGUGUGAAGUCAUAGGUUUUAUAAUCUUUCAUCAUCGACAAACUUAUGGUGAAAUUUUAUGAACACUGAUUCUUGAAAGAGAGGAUUGGCUAGUCAAAUGAAAGACCAGCAAAGAAAGAAAAAGCUGAAUGUAAAUGUGGUUGCAGAAGGAACUGCUGACAGCUGGAUCACUGAAGCUCAUGCCAUUGGGAAGAUUGUAGAGGUGUGUGAAGGAACUGAAAAAGGGGACUUAUUAACAUGCAUAAAGAAAGUAGCUUGAUGCGAAAGAAGAUGUCCCAGACGAAGUGAUACUGGCAUAAAACUUGAUGUUAAAAGAACAGUUGGCAACAUGUCAUGACAUUAGAAGUACAAAGAUAAAUUUGUGGAAGCUAAUCCAAUCAUGAAGAAUGUGACAAAGCACAGAAUUGGUGUCUAGACUGUACUCUGUUAUGUCUGGAAAUAGAAGCCAGGCACUAAUCACACCAGCUUUCAUAAGAAUGCCUUACAUAGGACUGAAAGAGAAACCCAUUAAUUUGUAUGAUUAAUAAAUAUUAAUUAAAACACAGCACUUAAUUCUCAGUAUUUCUAAGCAACUUAGAGUGAGUCAAAUAUCAGUUUUACCUUUUAAAAAGUUCUCUAUUUAUAACUGAUACAAGAGAGUUUUAAAUAUUUUGACAAAAAAUUGUGAACAAAGAGCAAUCAUAAUUUUUCUAAAUAAUUUUUAGGAUCAAUUUCAGCUUACAUAGUCAUUUUUUUAUGGCUUGCACUACUGUACAAAGCAAGAACUUCCUGUACUUACAUAUGAAAUGCUAUUUUACUCAUCAUUAGCAUGGGAUAUAAAGAUUCCAUUUUUCAACAACUGGAAGUGUCCUCCUUCAUUGCCCCAGUGUCUACAUCUUGCCCAGAGAUAGCAGAUAGAAACUCCAUCAUGCAGUUUCCUGCCCACGUACUGAGUUAAUUCUAGCCUUGGGCGUUGAUGGAAGUGAGGUACAGUCGGAAAAGACAUCAGCUGAGCAGAGGUUUUCAUUGGUCUUCUGUUGGCACCAUGCUCUCUGAUGAUUGGUGUUGGCUCCUGACUCCCAAGGCCUGCUCACUUUUGAUCUGAUUCUUUUCAUCAGUCUCAUCAUUCAGCUUAGGAUCCUGAGUCCUGAUUUACUGUGGGAAGAUUUGUCUUUUCAGGUUUUAAUUUUGCUUUGAAGCGUGAUUUUGGGAAGGUCAUCAUCUCCAUCAUAAUUAUUUACUUCUAUGAGAAAGGACAGUUCUAACCCUAUUUUUUUUUUCAUUAAGUUUACCGGUACAUUUUAGGUAUACAAUACAGUUACAUUCAUCACUGGGAACUUGUACCUGUACAUGAUGUAUCUUGGUUCUUAUUUUUUCUCCAUUCCCUGCCGUCCCUUCACCCCCGCUUCCCCAUUUACAAAGACUUUGUUUUCAUUUUUUUUCUUUUCUCAUAUUAAUUUUUAACUGAAGUUUUACUUUUAAAGUAGUUUUAGCUUCAUAGAAAGCUCAGAGGACAUUGAGCAGAAUGGGAAUUAAAACAUGGCACCUCAGUAUAUCACCUUCAACUUGCAGAAAACAAAAGAAAAAGAGAAAAUAUUUUGAUUUACAACAGUUUUAUUUUUGUACAAUUUAUUGAAGCAUUUAAGUGAAAAUUAACAGAUCUGAGAUUUGAGUUCUGCAGCCUUAAAUUCUUUGGCUAGAUGGUAGGGUGAUGCUGGCUAUAAUUGAAAUAAAGUCUAAAGAUCUAGGUUUACUUCUGUGUACAAAAUAUAAUAAGAAAGCUGUUAUUAAAGGCCACGGGGAAUAAUUUGUUUUGAAGAAAAUGCCUCAACAAAAAAGUAUUUGGCAGUUAUUUAGAUUGGUAUUAUUUUGCCAUCAGUCUCCUUAGGACAAACAGCUUGAAGCUGGAAGGCAUAGUGGGGCAGAGAGGGCUACCUCUCUGAGGAGGAGAGAAAGACUGGGGCAGAAAUGGCAGCUCCACCUGUUCCUCAAGAGAAUGAAUAAUGGAGAAUAUAGAUCGAAGUAUAACAAAAAAGGGACCAAUCUUAAGUCCUUAAACAGAGAAAAUCUCCAGAGCAUCCAGAGGUAGAAAACUUACAGAGGUACAAGAAUAGAAAUUACAAUAGACUUCCCAUCAGGUACCACGCAAGCAACAGCAGUGUAGUGAAAAAUUUAAUGUGUUGAAAGAGAAAAACUCUAUCAACCUAGAAUUCUAUAUGUAGUGAUAUUGAAACAGAAAUAAGGAUUUUCUCAGCAAAAGCUCAAAUAGUUUAUUAUUGGUGGAACUGCCUUGCAAGAAAUGUUAGAAGGAAUUCUUCAAGGAGAAAGUAAAUGAUAUAGGUCAGAAUCUCAGAUCCAUAUAAAGGCAGACUAGCAAAAAAGGAGUAUUUUAAAAUAAAAUAGUAUAUAUCAUUCUAAUAUUCUGAGUCAAUCUUAAAGAUAACUAUUUAAAGUGAUAAUAAAAAAAGACAAAAACUGAAGUGAUAAUAGUUAUUUUGGAUGCUUUUAUUAUAUGUAUAAGUGAAAUGACAGCAAUUUCAUACAUAUCAGGAGAAGGAAUUGGAAAUUAACUCUUAUAAAUACCUGUACUCCAUAUGAGACAGUCUGGUAUUAAAUAUAAGUGAACUUAGAUUAUUUGUAAUGUAUCUUUCUUUAGGGUAACUAUUAAUUUUUAUAUGUUAAAUGGAAUAAGCCAAGCACAGAAAGGCCAAUACUUCAUGUUCUCACUUAUCCGUGGCAGCCAAAAAAGUUGAUUUUAUUUAAGUGACCACCAGGGGUUAGGAAGAGUAGGGAAUGAGGAAUGGAGGGAGGUGGGGAAAUGGAUACCAACAUGCAGCUGUGGAGGAGGCAUAUGUUCCAGCGUCUUACGGCACAGUAGACUUAACUAUAGUUUACAACACUGUAUUAUGUAUUUUAUAAAGCAC